UACGGGGGGGGCAAGCGUUGUUCGGAAUUACUGGGCGUAAAGGGCUCGUAGGCGGCCGACUAAGUCAGACGUGAAAUCCCCAGGCUCAACCUGGGAACUGCGUCUGAUACUGGAUGGCUUGAAUUCGGGAGAGGGAUGCAGAAUUCCAGGUGUAGCGGUGAAAUGCGUAGAUAUCUGGAGGAAUACCGGUGGCGAAGGCGGCAUCCUGGACCGACAUUGACGCUGAGGAGCGAAAGCUAGGGGAGCAAACGGG
This 253-nucleotide ribosomal RNA is filed under the name uncultured bacterium. RNAcentral's name for it is "partial 16S ribosomal RNA". It matches the Rfam family "Bacterial small subunit ribosomal RNA", at positions 524 to 776 of the family's 1533-position model. The record is from RNAcentral.